AGACAAAGCACGUAUGUAUGUAUGUAUGUCUCAAAUGUAAUGUAAGUUAACUGGUACGCAACGCCAAUGUCAUAUUCUAUCUUCACUUCUGGAAAAUAACUUCUUUGUUAUAUUUUGCAGAAUAAUCUUCACAGCUGCAUGCAUUUGCAUUUGUGAACGCAUUCUGGGAAUUAAAAGGUGAUUGGAUUUGGGAGGGAUGAUGGGGGACCAGAUCAGAUCAGAUCAGUCAUCAGUGGUGGCUGAAAAGGUGUGCAUGCAUGUGAUCAAUCAAUGGUGGGAUCUAUCUACUACACUACAGUCUAACCUCACUGAGCUUCUCCCUCCAUCCCCACCAAACCUAGAAAAAAAAAAAAAAAAAAAAAAAAAAAAAAAAAAAAAAAAAAAAAAGAAGAAGAAAAUUAUGCAUUUCUUGAAUGUUACAUAAAGGAAGCGAAUUGAUUUUGUCCGUACAUAUAACUCACGGUGAAGGUGGAUGUGUUGGUUUUUAGAUCUAAGUCUAACUAGAGUGGCACCUAACAUUUCUUACGCUACACAUUUUGUGACCAAAAAACAAAUUAUAGAUAUGCAAUAAGUGCCCCUUUUUUAUCGUAUUUGCC
RNAcentral lists this long non-coding RNA (596 nucleotides) under Prunus dulcis (almond). Its description in RNAcentral is "sRNA ncRNA". Lineage: Eukaryota; Viridiplantae; Streptophyta; Magnoliopsida; Rosales; Rosaceae. The record is from RNAcentral.